GACGAACGCUGGCGGCGUGCCUAAUACAUGCAAGUCGAACGAACGGAUUGAGGAGCUUGCUCUUCAUGAAGUUAGUGGCGGACGGGUGAGUAACACGUGGGUAACCUGCCCUUCAGUGGGGGAUAACAUCCGGAAACGGGUGCUAAUACCGCAUAGUUUCUUUUUCCGCCUGGAAGAAGAAGGAGAGAUGGCCUUUGCGCUAUCACUGAGGGAUGGACCCGCGGCGUAUUAGUUAGUUGGUGGGGUAAUGGCCUACCAAGACGAUAAUGCGUAGCCGACCUGAGAGGGUGACCGGCCACACUGGGACUGAGACACGGCCCAG
This 322-nucleotide ribosomal RNA is filed under the name uncultured bacterium. RNAcentral describes it as "bacterial SSU rRNA". It matches the Rfam family "Bacterial small subunit ribosomal RNA", at positions 28 to 334 of the family's 1533-position model. The record is from RNAcentral.